GGUUCAUUGGUCUAUCUGUAUGAUUCUCGCUUCGAUUGCGAGAGGACCCGGGUUCAAUUCUCGGAUGAGCCC
This is a non-coding RNA of Danio rerio (zebrafish), 72 nucleotides long. Lineage: Eukaryota; Metazoa; Chordata; Actinopteri; Cypriniformes; Danionidae. The record is from Rfam.